CUGGAGCAAAUGAAAUCUUGUCUUUAGCUAUGUUCACCGGGACUAGUAUUCACAGACAACACAAGAUUAGACUAACAUCACUCUAAGUCAGUAUCUCUGUUAUUUCUAAAAGAGAAUGUGCACUAUAAAUAAUUCCUAAAUAUUUGCUUCUAGGUUUAGUGACAGUCUCUGAAGGCAUUAACUAAAGAAAGAUGUGUCCAGCUGUUGGAUACCAGGGGAACACAACCAAUAUUGCCAAUGGCACUGUGAUAGCGAUUCUGUUCUGAAGGCAAAGCGCUGUUAUCCUGGUACCAAACAGCAGCUGUUUAGAAUAUGGAUGAAACAUUCAGGCUACAAGCAAGUGAUCCUGCACCUACCUGACUGGAAGCACAUAGGAUAUUUGACAUCUACAGAACAGUAGUAAUAAACAUAAGGAACAAUCUUGAAAGGAUUUUUGACUUCUCCAAGUAUCACUGGAUCUUCAGUUGCAAACUAGGGAAAGUAUCCCACCAACAUCCUUGCACUUCAUGUCAGAAGCUGUGAUUCUAUCUGCCCUAUAUAACUGCAGAUGACUUUCUUCCCCUCUGCCCCUCAUCUGUAUCACCACUCUAAGUCCAGUGUGAAAUCUAGCUAUAUGCUAUUGCCAGCCCCAGGUCUCAGAAUUGCCACCUGUACUCAUCUUUCUGGCAGUACAAGGAGUUGCUCUAUUUGGACUGGAUAGCAAAUCGUAGGACUUUGUACACGGCACUUUUUCUGUGAGGUUACAACUUGAAAUGUU
Molecule: long non-coding RNA, 757 nt
Filed under: Anser brachyrhynchus (Pink-footed goose)
Lineage: Eukaryota; Metazoa; Chordata; Aves; Anseriformes; Anatidae
Description: lncRNA (ENSABRG00000002236.1)
Source: RNAcentral